AAUACAAGUACUUGAAAAAUUCCGUGGAAAACUAAAAACAGGAGCAAACCCUAGAGAGAGAGAGAAAAGCCAUGGGUACGCCAGAAACAUCAAGAGAACCGUGUCCAGAUCGCAUACUAGAUGACAUCGGUGGCGCGUUCGCCAUGGGUGCGGUGGGAGGCUCUGCUUUCCACUUCCUGAAAGGCGUCUACAACUCUCCCUCUGGUGCUCGAUUAGUCGGUGGCACGCAAGCCGUGCGUCUCAACGCUCCUCGCGUCGGUGGAAGCUUCGCUGUGUGGGGUGGACUCUUCUCUGCCUUCGACUGUACCAUGGUCUAUCUUCGCCAAAAGGAAGACCCUUGGAACUCGAUUGUGGCUGGUGCAGCCACCGGUGGCUUCCUCUCCAUGCGUCAAGGUCUCGGCGCCUCCGCUCGCUCCGCCGUGUUCGGUGGAGUCCUUUUGGCUCUCAUCGAAGGAGCUGGAAUCAUGCUUAACCGUAUGCUUAGUGGUCAACAACAGAUGCCUGUGAUCAUCGAGGACCCUCAGCCGAAUAUUCCUGGUUACAUGGGCCAGGUACCGGGCCUGCCCCAAGCCCCAGUUUCAGCCCAAGCCCAACCAGAUUCUUCUUCUACGGACUCUGGUUCGGGUUGGCUUGGAGGCUGGUGGUCGAAGAACAAAGAGUCGGAAUCCACCAGUAGUGGAAGCGAGACGAAGAUCUUGGAGAGCUUCGAUGCCCCACCGGUUCCCAACUUUGAGUACAAGUGAGGAAAAUAAAAGUUGCCUGGCUAGAGGCGAGUCCAAAGGGCUCUUCUUUAGAAAGAUUCCCUACCUUACUUCUUUUUCCGGGUGUUUCUUUGGUCUCAAUAAUUUGCAGGACCCUUGUCGUGCUUUCUUCCCAAUUGAUGAAGUUCAUUUUCAUGGUUUUAUCUUUAAAUAGAUAUCUUCCUCGAGAGGGUUACUCCAGCUAUUCCAUACUUUUGUACACAUGUACUGAUUGUUUUGACCGGUAGGCAAUAUUUUAUUUUAUUUUUAUAGCUUAAAAGUUUUCUAAGAGCGGGACAUGAUAGCAGAUGUAGUUUGUUACCAUUAUAAUGCUGAAAUUAGAUGCAAACAGCGAUAAUAUCACUGUUCUAUUA
RNA transcript from Quercus robur (English oak), 1114 nucleotides. It is a transcript of the gene named mitochondrial import inner membrane translocase subunit TIM17-2-like, with no coding region annotated. NCBI's taxonomy places the organism in Eukaryota, Viridiplantae, Streptophyta, Magnoliopsida, Fagales, Fagaceae. The record is from RefSeq and is a predicted model, not a curated record. The transcript has 3 exons.